Molecule: ribosomal RNA, 425 nt
Filed under: Micrococcus luteus
Lineage: Bacteria; Bacillati; Actinomycetota; Actinomycetes; Micrococcales; Micrococcaceae
Description: bacterial SSU rRNA
Rfam family: Bacterial small subunit ribosomal RNA
Source: RNAcentral
GAUGAACGCUGGCGGCGUGCUUAACACAUGCAAGUCGAACGAUGAAGCCCAGCCUGCUGGGCGGAUUAGUGGCGAACGGGUGAGUAACACGUGAGUAACCUGCCCUUGGCUCUGGGAUAAGCCCGGGAAACUGGGUCUAAUACCGGAUAGGAGCGCCUGUCGCAUGACGGGUGCUGGAAAGAUUUUUCGGUCAUGGAUGGACUCGCGGCCUAUCAGCUUGUUGGUGAGGUAACGGCUCACCAAGGCGACGACGGGUAGCCGGCCUGAGAGGGUGACCGGCCACACUGGGACUGAGACACGGCCCAGACUCCUACGGGAGGCAGCAGUGGGGAAUAUUGCACAAUGGGCGGAAGCCUGAUGCAGCGACGCCGCGUGAGGGAUGACGGCCUUCGGGUUGUAAACCUCUUUUCAGUAGGGAAGAAGCG